UUAAUUUAGAUUAUUUUAAUCUUUUCCUUAUUGUAAACUUUAAUAUAUAUUUACAUAAAUAUACUCAAAGUAACCUUUUAAUGAAUAUUGUCAAAUAUCAAAAAAAAAAAAAAAAAAGAUCCGUAAUUAUUUUUUUAAAAAUAAACAAUACUAUAUGUACUAAUUAGUGUACUACUAACUAAUGUAUCAAUUAAUGAUAUGAUAUAAUUUCAGAGAUUUUUAAUAUUUAUAAUGUGAUUAAUGAGUAUGGUCAAUAAUAAUAUCAUAACUAGUGUUGAUAUUGACUAUUUUGAGAAGAUGAUUAUAACCAACUUUUUGAUUAAAAGCUGCUUAUAAACUACUUAUAAGUAAUUUUUUUAUGAGAGAGGAAGUGAGUUAUAAUCCGAAAAGUGAAUUAUAACUCAUUUCUUAAAAAAAACCAUAUUAAUUAGUAUAUUAAUUAAUACAUAUAGCACCAUCGAAAAAAAUAUGUAUAAAAAGUCUCAUUAAAGUUUAUUUUCAACCUCGAAAAAGUGCGAACCUGAUCCCUAUCAACUUUUUGGGUUGGCUUUGGAUUUUUUUGGGUGUUGCGUGCGUUGUUGCAAGUGGUUGGAUUGGUUUUAGGGAGGUGAUCAGUUGUUGUCACUGUUGUGAUUUUUUGCUCCCUAUUAUCAACUUUGUUUUUUAAUAAUAAUAAUAAAAAACUUUGCUUACUUCGAUAUUCGAUUAAAAAAAAAAUUGUUUUAAUAAAAUUAUAAUAAUUAUAUUUGAUUAUUUGGUUAGAAAAAUAUAAUUUCAAUAAAUUUUUUAUUAAUUUUUUCCAAUCUAACACUCAUGUAAUAGUAAAACUUUGGAACUUGAAUCCAUUGAAUUUGAAUGAUAGGAACAAUUCAUUGCCACAUAGUAAGUUAGCAAAAAAAAAAAAGUUAAAAAAUACUGUACGAACUAAUGAAUUU
Molecule: non-coding RNA, 935 nt
Organism: Camellia sinensis
Lineage: Eukaryota; Viridiplantae; Streptophyta; Magnoliopsida; Ericales; Theaceae
Source: RefSeq, a predicted model, not a curated record